RNAcentral lists this unclassified non-coding RNA (348 nucleotides) under soil metagenome. RNAcentral's name for it is "partial contains 5.8S ribosomal RNA, internal transcribed spacer 2, and large subunit ribosomal RNA". The stretch from base 1 to 121 matches the Rfam family "5.8S ribosomal RNA", at positions 35 to 154 of the family's 154-position model. The record is from RNAcentral.
GAUGAAGAACGUAGCGAAAUGCGAUAAGUAAUGCGAAUUGCAGAAUUUCCGUGAGUCAUCGAAUCUUUGAACGCACAUUGCGCCCAUUGGCAUUCCGAUGGGCAUGCCUGUUCGAGCGUCAUUAUCCUCCCUCAAACCCCUGGGUUUGGUGUUGGACUGUGUGGUGCCUGGCACCACUGGUCUCAAAGACAAUGAUGGCGUCCGUGGGACCCUCGGUGCAACGAGCUUUUCGAAGCACGCGUCGAGUGGACAGUCUCUCCGGGCCGGUCACCUCUCCAAUUUUUCUCAGGUUGACCUCGGAUCAGGUAGGAAUACCCGCUGAACUUAAGCAUAUCAAUAAGCGGAGGA